Molecule: transfer RNA, 87 nt
Filed under: Elusimicrobiota bacterium
Lineage: Bacteria; Pseudomonadati; Elusimicrobiota
Description: Elusimicrobia bacterium (anaerobic digester metagenome) tRNA-Ser
Rfam family: tRNA
About the family: Transfer RNA (tRNA) molecules are approximately 80 nucleotides in length. Their secondary structure includes four short double-helical elements and three loops (D, anti-codon, and T loops).
Source: RNAcentral
GGAGAGGUGUGUGAGCGGUUGAAACAGCAGGUCUCGAAAACCUGUAGGGAGGAAACUCCCUCGUGGGUUCGAAUCCCACCCUCUCCG